This 248-nucleotide ribosomal RNA is filed under the name uncultured bacterium. RNAcentral's name for it is "partial 16S ribosomal RNA". It matches the Rfam family "Bacterial small subunit ribosomal RNA", at positions 355 to 594 of the family's 1533-position model. The record is from RNAcentral.
UAGGGAAUCUUCCACAAUGGACGCAAGUCUGAUGGAGCAACGCCGCGUGAGUGAAGAAGGUUUUCGGACCGUAAAGCUCUGUUGUUGGUGAAGAAGGAUAGAGGUAGUAACUGGCCUUUAUUUGACGGUAAUCGACCAGAAAGUCACGGCUAACUACGUGCCAGCAGCCGCGGUAAUACGUAGGUGGCAAGCGUUGUCCGGAUUUAUUGGGCGUAAAGCGGAGCGCAGGCGGAAGAAUAAGUCUGAUG